AGCCAGCGAUCAGUAACUGGUGUGAGAGCACGACCAGUCACACGGGCACUGAGACACGGGCCCGACUCUACGGGAGGCAGCAGUAAGGAAUAUUGGUCAAUGGACGCAAGUCUGAACCAGCCAUGCCGCGUGGAGGAUGAAGGUCCUCUGGAUUGUAAACUUCUUUUAUCUGGGACGAAAAAGGGCCUUUCUAGGUCAACUGACGGUACCAGAUGAAAUAAGCACCGGCUAACUCCGUGCCAGCAGCCGCGGUAAUACGGAGGGUGCAAGCGUUAUCCGGAUUCACUGGGUUUAAAGGGUGCGUAGGCGGGCAUGUAAGUCCGUGGUGAUAUCUCCGAGCUUAACUCGGAAACUGCCAUGGAUACUAUGUGUCUUGAAUGUUGUGGAGGUGAGCGGAAUAUGUCAUGUAGCGGUGAAAUGCUUAGAUAUGACAUAGAACACCAAUUGCGAAGGCAGCUCACUACACAAAUAUUGACGCUGAGGCACGAAAGCGUGGGGAUCAAACAGGAUUAGAUACCCUGGUAGUCCACGCCCUAAACGAUGAUUACUCGACAUACGUGAUACACCAAUGUGUGUCUGAGCGAAAGCAUUAAGUAAUCCACCUGGGAAG
RNAcentral lists this ribosomal RNA (610 nucleotides) under bacterium DR2A-6G1. Its description in RNAcentral is "bacterial SSU rRNA". It matches the Rfam family "Bacterial small subunit ribosomal RNA", at positions 271 to 880 of the family's 1533-position model. RNAcentral also lists the same sequence under 1 other name. The record is from RNAcentral.